Molecule: ribosomal RNA, 784 nt
Filed under: Caenoprosopis crabronina
Lineage: Eukaryota; Metazoa; Arthropoda; Insecta; Hymenoptera; Apidae
Description: SSU rRNA
Rfam family: Eukaryotic small subunit ribosomal RNA
Source: RNAcentral
CGGGGAGGUAGUGACGAAAAAUAACGAUACGGGACUCAUCCGAGGCCCCGUAAUCGGAAUGAGUACACUUUAAAUCCUUUAACGAGGACCAAUUGGAGGGCAAGUCUGGUGCCAGCAGCCGCGGUAAUUCCAGCUCCAAUAGCGUAUAUUAAAGUUGUUGCGGUUAAAAAGCUCGUAGUUGAAUCUGUGUGUCACAGUGUCGGUUCACCGCUCGCGGUGUUUAACUGGCAUUAUGUGGUACGUCCUACCGGUGGGCUUAGCUCCUUGCGGGCGGUCCAACUAAUAUCCCAUCGCGGUGCUCUUCAUUGAGUGUCGAGGUGGGCCGGUACGUUUACUUUGAACAAAUUAGAGUGCUCAAAGCAGGCUACCUUCGCCUGAAUACUCUGUGCAUGGAAUAAUGGAAUAGGACCUCGGUUCUAUUUUGUUGGUUUCCGGAACCCCGAGGUAAUGAUUAAUAGGGACAGAUGGGGGCAUUCGUAUUGCGACGUUAGAGGUGAAAUUCUUGGAUCGUCGCAAGACGGACAGAAGCGAAAGCAUUUGCCAAAAAUGUUUUCAUUAAUCAAGAACGAAAGUUAGAGGUUCGAAGGCGAUCAGAUACCGCCCUAGUUCUAACCAUAAACGAUGCCAGCUAGCGAUCCGCCGAAGUUCCUCCGAUGACUCGGCGGGCAGCUUCCGGGAAACCAAAGCUUUUGGGUUCCGGGGGAAGUAUGGUUGCAAAGCUGAAACUUAAAGGAAUUGACGGAAGGGCACCACCAGGAGUGGAGCCUGCGGCUUAAUUUGACUC